Long non-coding RNA from Mytilus californianus (California mussel), 860 nucleotides. RefSeq lists it as uncharacterized. The record is from RefSeq and is a predicted model, not a curated record. The transcript has 2 exons. Lineage: Eukaryota; Metazoa; Mollusca; Bivalvia; Mytilida; Mytilidae.
UUUCACGGGAACGAAGAUUUUGCAAGUAGGUUGUAGUUAUUAGAUCAUCAAUGAAGUAAUUUUAAAAAUAAGACGUCAAGGUCGAAACUAGCUCUAGCUCAUAAUGGAGAAAAUGUGAACCGUCUUAAAGCAAGAAGGUCUCCUCAUGUACCCGAAUUUCUGUUUGUGGACAUAUGUUGUUGGCGGAUAAAGUCGCACUGACUUAAAGCAAUGUAGGGUCUACAGAGAAAUGACGAUUUAAGUGUUCGAGGGCGAAGAGGAUAUUGUUUUUUCCAAACAAUUGCACAAACCACCACUGGACUGGAGAGAUUGACCUGUUAGUAACUACUGGAAAAGUGUCAACGUUUAUGAAUCGACAUGUCCAACACUUGCAAGAGUAAUUUCGGCAGUGUUUGUGAAAAUAAUUUCAUCUUUUUUUAAAUUAAAAUCAUAAUUCGCUGCUGUCCGAUAAUUCAACCUUGCAGUGAUUUACAGUUCAGUUGCUUGCCAUACAACUAUUGUCAGCCAAAUUAUUGCACAGAGAGGAACCAUAUCCUGUAUUUCGGAACAGAAAAAGAACUUAAAAUAUUUACUGAAAAAGUGAUAAUUGUUAAAGCCCGUUAAAUACAUGUGUACAUCAAAUUAAUUUUAUUACGAAAAUAGAAAAUAGAAAUUUGUGCACUCAGAAAUGUGCAUAGCAAAUCGUGAUGUUAUCAGAACUUUUCAUUGUUAAAAGACAAAUUUUUUAAUGGUCUGAAAUCAGAAAGUGGCAUUGGCGAUAACUUGAAAUACAAUUUUAGAUUUUGUAUUUACUUUAAGAGGAAUUUCAAUAUAUGUUUUUUUGUGAUAUCAAUAAUAAAUUUAUGUAGAAAAUACACAAA